GACGAACGCUGGCGGCGUGCCUAAUACAUGCAAGUAGAACGCUGAAGGAGGAACUUGCUCUUCUGGAUGAGUUGCGCACGGGUGAGUAACGCGUAUGUAACCUGCCUGGUAGCGGGGGAUAACUCUUGGAAACGAUAGCUAAUACCGCAUAAGAGUAGAUGUUGCAUGACAUUUACUUAAAAGGUGCAAUUGCAUCGCUACCAGUUGGACCUGCGUUGUAUUAGCUAGUUGGUGGGGUAACGGCUUACCAAGGCGACGAUACAUAGCCGACCUGAGAGGGUGAUCGGCCACACUGGAACUGAGACACGGCCCAGACUCCUACGGGAGGCAGCAGUAGGGAAUCUUCGGCAAUGGACGGAAGUCUGACCGAGCAACGCCGCGUGAGUGAAGAAGGUUUUCGGAUCGUAAAGCUCUGUUGUAAGAGAAGAACGAGUGUGAGAGUGGAAAGUCCACACUGGAAGGGUAUCUUACCAGAAAGGAAGGGCUAACUACGG
This 494-nucleotide ribosomal RNA is filed under the name uncultured bacterium. RNAcentral describes it as "partial 16S ribosomal RNA". It matches the Rfam family "Bacterial small subunit ribosomal RNA", at positions 28 to 506 of the family's 1533-position model. The record is from RNAcentral.